Molecule: ribosomal RNA, 59 nt
Filed under: Fusarium graminearum
Lineage: Eukaryota; Fungi; Ascomycota; Sordariomycetes; Hypocreales; Nectriaceae
Also listed under: 5 other names
Description: partial 28S ribosomal RNA
Source: RNAcentral
UGACCUCGGAUCAGGUAGGAAUACCCGCUGAACUUAAGCAUAUCAAUAAGCCGGAGGAA